This 80-nucleotide transfer RNA is filed under the name Marchantia polymorpha subsp. ruderalis. It matches the Rfam family "tRNA". From Rfam's summary of the family: Transfer RNA (tRNA) molecules are approximately 80 nucleotides in length. Their secondary structure includes four short double-helical elements and three loops (D, anti-codon, and T loops). Further hydrogen bonds mediate the characteristic L-shaped molecular structure. tRNAs have two regions of fundamental functional importance: the anti-codon, which is responsible for specific mRNA codon recognition, and the 3' end, to which the tRNAs corresponding amino acid is attached (by aminoacyl-tRNA synthetases). tRNAs cope with the degeneracy of the genetic code in two manners: having more than one tRNA (with a specific anti-codon) for a particular amino acid; and 'wobble' base-pairing, i.e. permitting non-standard base-pairing at the 3rd anti-codon position. Lineage: Eukaryota; Viridiplantae; Streptophyta; Marchantiopsida; Marchantiales; Marchantiaceae. The record is from Rfam by way of RNAcentral.
GGUGCUAUGGCUCAGUGGCUGAGCAGUGUACUGUUAAUGCAUGGCCUAUGCCUAGGUAGGUUCGAUUCCUACUAGCACCU